RNAcentral lists this long non-coding RNA (228 nucleotides) under Mustela putorius furo (domestic ferret). Its description in RNAcentral is "lncRNA (ENSMPUG00000030231.1)". The record is from RNAcentral. Lineage: Eukaryota; Metazoa; Chordata; Mammalia; Carnivora; Mustelidae.
GCUCUCUGGAAGGUCCGUGCAGAACUCCCGUUGGAUGCUAGCUAAGCAGUGCUGACUUGCCCUCGGGCUGGGCACAGCCAACAGGCAGCCCCAACCCUGCCUCCUAGGAAGGACCAGUCUACCAGAUGCUAUAGGCUCCGCUCCAGGAAGGGCCAGAUACAGACUUCUCUUAUACCUUGGAUUAUUGCCCAACUCCUGUUCAUCUGAUUCUGGCAUCUUAUUUCCAAG